RNAcentral lists this ribosomal RNA (475 nucleotides) under uncultured bacterium. RNAcentral describes it as "SSU rRNA". It matches the Rfam family "Bacterial small subunit ribosomal RNA", at positions 26 to 518 of the family's 1533-position model. The record is from RNAcentral.
AGAAUCAACGCUGGCGGCGUGCCUAACACAUGCAAGUCGAACGGGAAAGUGGAGCAAUCCAUGAGUAUAGUGGCGACCGGGUGAGUAACACGUGACUAACCUACCUUCAAGUGGGGGAUAACCUCGGGAAACCUGGGCUAAUACCGCAUAAUAUCUUUGUGCUGAGAAAGCAGAGAUCAAAGGAGUAAUUCGCUGGAAGAGGGGGUCGCGGCUGAUUAGCUAGUUGGUGGGGUAACGGCCCACCAAGGCUUUGAUCGGUAGCCGGCCUGAGAGGGCGCACGGCCACACUGGAACUGAAACACGGUCCAGACUCCUACGGGAGGCAGCAGUGGGGAAUUUUGCGCAAUGGGGGAAACCCUGACGCAGCAACGCCGCGUGGAGGAUGAAGUCCCUUGGGACGUAAACGUCCUUUCGACCGGGAAGAUUAUGACGGUACCGGUGGAAGAAGCCCGGCUAACUUCGUGCCAGCAGCCGC